GACAGAGGCCUCGAGCGUUAGGCGGAAUCACUGGGCUUAAAGCGUGUGUAGGCGGAUCGUUAAGUGUCUUGUGAAAUCCCACGGCUCAACCGUGGAACUGCUGGGCAUACUGGCGAUCUUGGGCCACCUAGGGGCAGUCGGAACAAACGGUGGAGCGGUGAAAUGCGUAGAUAUCGUUUGGAACGCCGAUGGUGAAAACAGACUGCUGGGGGUGUGCCGACGCUGAGACACGAAAGCUAGGGGAGCGAAUGGG
RNAcentral lists this ribosomal RNA (253 nucleotides) under uncultured bacterium. Its description in RNAcentral is "partial 16S ribosomal RNA". It matches the Rfam family "Bacterial small subunit ribosomal RNA", at positions 524 to 776 of the family's 1533-position model. The record is from RNAcentral.